AGACUACUGAAAAGCGAUGAUGUGUCCGAGGACCUGCUGCAGGACGUCACUCACCACGUCCUGAGUGAGUCAGAUCUGGACAAUGACAACAUGCUUUCCUUCUCCGAGUUCGAACAUGCAAUGGCCAAAUCUCCGGAUUUCAUGAACUCCUUUCGGAUUCACUUCUGGGGGUGCUGAUGUGAAGUCACCUGGUUCAGCAGCUUCAGGGAAGACUACCGGACACCCCUUCCCCGCCCCACCCCUGUAUCCAGGCACUGUGGAAUCUGAUUUGAAGUAUGACUCAACUCUGUCCCUCCUUCACCUCUAGAAUAUUGUUUACUAAAUAAAUAUGUGUCUACCCA
This 341-nucleotide long non-coding RNA is filed under the name Rattus norvegicus (Norway rat). RNAcentral's name for it is "long non-coding RNA NONRATT024097". The record is from RNAcentral. Lineage: Eukaryota; Metazoa; Chordata; Mammalia; Rodentia; Muridae.